RNAcentral lists this long non-coding RNA (204 nucleotides) under Gossypium barbadense (sea-island cotton). Its description in RNAcentral is "long non-coding RNA (GBAR_LNC011308)". Lineage: Eukaryota; Viridiplantae; Streptophyta; Magnoliopsida; Malvales; Malvaceae. The record is from RNAcentral.
UCAGAGGCCCUAUAACCCCUCCCCCUUACCAAAGUGGUAUUUUAUAAUGGAAAUUCCUGAGAUUUAUGUUGAAUGAGUUUCCAGGUGAGAAACCAAAGAGUUCAAUGAUGGAAUGGUUAUAAGCAUAAUUAGAUAUUGAGAAUGGGAUGAUAAGUACAGCCGUGAGCUAGAAAGAUAUCGGAUUGACUGAAAGAUUGUUUAACU